This 522-nucleotide ribosomal RNA is filed under the name uncultured bacterium. RNAcentral describes it as "bacterial SSU rRNA". It matches the Rfam family "Bacterial small subunit ribosomal RNA", at positions 777 to 1304 of the family's 1533-position model. The record is from RNAcentral.
AAUAGAUACCCUGGUAGUCCACGCCCUAAACGAUGUCAACUAGCUGUUGGGGCCUUCGGGCCUUGGUAGCGCAGCUAACGCGUGAAGUUGACCGCCUGGGGAGUACGGUCGCAAGAUUAAAAUUCAAAGGAAUUGACGGGGACCCGCACAAGCGGUGGAUGAUGUGGAUUAAUUCGAUGCAACGCGAAAAACCUUACCUACCCUUGACAUGUCUGGAAUGCCGAAGAGAUUUGGCAGUGCUCGCAAGAGAACCGGAACACAGGUGCUGCAUGGCUGUCGUCAGCUCGUGUCGUGAGAUGUUGGGUUAAGUCCCGCAACGAGCGCAACCCUUGUCAUUAGUUGCUACGAAAGGGCACUCUAAUGAGACUGCCGGUGACAAACCGGAGGAAGGUGGGGAUGACGUCAAGUCCUCAUGGCCCUUAUGGGUAGGGCUUCACACGUCAUACAAUGGUCGGGACAGAGGGUCGCCAACCCGCGAGGGGGAGCCAAUCCCAGAAACCCGAUCGUAGUCUGGAUCGCAGU